UACGUAGGUGGCAAGCGUUGUCCGGAUUUACUGGGCGUAAAGGGCGCGUAGGCGGCGACUCAAGUUAGAUGUGAAAGUCCUGGGCUUAACCUGGGGACUGCAUUUGAUACUGGGUUGCUUGAAUUCGGGAGAGGAUAGCGGAAUUCCCAGUGUAGAGGUGAAAUUCGUAGAUAUUGGGAAGAACACCGGUGGCGAAGGCGGCUAUCUGGACCGACAUUGACGCUGAGGCGCGAAAGCGUGGGGAGCAAACAGG
Molecule: ribosomal RNA, 253 nt
Filed under: uncultured bacterium
Lineage: Bacteria
Description: partial 16S ribosomal RNA
Rfam family: Bacterial small subunit ribosomal RNA
Source: RNAcentral